Molecule: ribosomal RNA, 252 nt
Filed under: uncultured bacterium
Lineage: Bacteria
Description: partial 16S ribosomal RNA
Rfam family: Bacterial small subunit ribosomal RNA
Source: RNAcentral
UACGUAGGGUGCAAGCGUUAAUCGGAAUUACUGGGCGUAAAGCGUGCGCAGGCGGUGAUGUAAGACAGGUGUGAAAUCCCCGGGCUUAACCUGGGAACUGCAUUUGUGACUGCAUCGCUGGAGUGCGGCAGAGGGGGAUGGAAUUCCGCGUGUAGCAGUGAAAUGCGUAGAUAUGCGGAGGAACACCGAUGGCGAAGGCAAUCCCCUGGGCCUGCACUGACGCUCAUGCACGAAAGCGUGGGUAGCAACAGG